RNAcentral lists this ribosomal RNA (420 nucleotides) under uncultured Alphaproteobacteria bacterium. RNAcentral describes it as "bacterial SSU rRNA". It matches the Rfam family "Bacterial small subunit ribosomal RNA", at positions 9 to 479 of the family's 1533-position model. Lineage: Bacteria; Pseudomonadati; Pseudomonadota; Alphaproteobacteria. The record is from RNAcentral.
GAGUUUGAUCUUGGCUCAGAACGAACGCUGGCGGCAUGCCUAACACAUGCAAGUCGAACGCCCCGCAAGGGGAGUGGCGGACGGGUGAGUAACGCGUGGGGACCUGCCUCGAAGUUCGGGAUAACCGCGGGAAACUGCGGCUAAUACCGGAUGUGGCCUGAGGGCCAAAGGGGAAACUCGCUUCGAGAGGGGCCCGCGUCCGAUUAGCUAGUUGGCGGGGUAACGGCCCACCAAGGCGACGAUCGGUAGCUGGUCUGAGAGGAUGAUCAGCCACACUGGGACUGAGACACGGCCCAGACUCCUACGGGAGGCAGCAGUGGGGAAUAUUGGACAAUGGGGCAACCCUGAUCCAGCAAUGCCGCGUGAGUGAUGAAGGCCUUCGGUUGUAAGCUCUUCGCACGCGACGAUGAUGACGGUAGC